RNAcentral lists this ribosomal RNA (301 nucleotides) under uncultured bacterium. RNAcentral's name for it is "partial 16S ribosomal RNA". It matches the Rfam family "Bacterial small subunit ribosomal RNA", at positions 509 to 807 of the family's 1533-position model. The record is from RNAcentral.
CAGUCGCCGCGGGAACACGUAGGGUGCGAGCGUUAAUCGGAAUUACUGGGCGUAAAGCGUGCGCAGGCGGUUCGUUAAGACAGAUGUGAAAUCCCCGGGCUUAACCUGGGAACUGCAUUUGUGACUGACGGGCUAGAGUAUGGCAGAGGGGGGUAGAAUUCCACGUGUAGCAGUGAAAUGCGUAGAGAUGUGGAGGAAUACCGAUGGCGAAGGCAGCCCCCUGGGCCAAUACUGACGCUCAUGCACGAAAGCGUGGGGAGCAAACAGGAUUAGAUACCCCCGUAGUCCCUGUCUCUUAUAC